RNAcentral lists this ribosomal RNA (253 nucleotides) under uncultured bacterium. Its description in RNAcentral is "partial 16S ribosomal RNA". It matches the Rfam family "Bacterial small subunit ribosomal RNA", at positions 524 to 776 of the family's 1533-position model. The record is from RNAcentral.
UACGUAGGGGGCUAGCGUUGUCCGGAAUCAUUGGGCGUAAAGCGCGCGUAGGCGGCCCGGUAAGUCCGCUGUAAAAGUCAAAGGCUCAACCUUUGAAUGUCAGUGGAUACUGCCGGGCUAGAGUCCGGAAGAGGCGAGUGGAACUCCUGGUGUAGCGGUGGAAUGCGCAGAUAUCAGGAAGAACACCGACGGCGAAGGCAGCUCGCUGGGACGGUACUGACGCUGAGGCGCGAAAGCGUGGGGAGCGAUCCGG